Molecule: transfer RNA, 65 nt
Filed under: Dipodomys ordii (Ord's kangaroo rat)
Lineage: Eukaryota; Metazoa; Chordata; Mammalia; Rodentia; Heteromyidae
Rfam family: tRNA
About the family: Transfer RNA (tRNA) molecules are approximately 80 nucleotides in length. Their secondary structure includes four short double-helical elements and three loops (D, anti-codon, and T loops). Further hydrogen bonds mediate the characteristic L-shaped molecular structure. tRNAs have two regions of fundamental functional importance: the anti-codon, which is responsible for specific mRNA codon recognition, and the 3' end, to which the tRNAs corresponding amino acid is attached (by aminoacyl-tRNA synthetases). tRNAs cope with the degeneracy of the genetic code in two manners: having more than one tRNA (with a specific anti-codon) for a particular amino acid; and 'wobble' base-pairing, i.e. permitting non-standard base-pairing at the 3rd anti-codon position.
Source: Rfam by way of RNAcentral
GGUGGCUCAGUGGUAGAGUUCUUGCCUUGCAUGCAUGAGGCCCUAGGUUCAAUUCCUAAGUACCA